Molecule: transfer RNA, 71 nt
Filed under: Anaerolineae bacterium
Lineage: Bacteria; Bacillati; Chloroflexota; Anaerolineae
Description: tRNA-Ala
Rfam family: tRNA
About the family: Transfer RNA (tRNA) molecules are approximately 80 nucleotides in length. Their secondary structure includes four short double-helical elements and three loops (D, anti-codon, and T loops).
Source: RNAcentral
GGGCUGGUCGUCCAACGGGAAGACACUGCGCUUGCAACGCAGAAAUGUGGGUUCAAUUCCCGCGCAGUCCA